RNAcentral lists this transfer RNA (76 nucleotides) under Sulfurivirga caldicuralii. RNAcentral's name for it is "tRNA-His". It matches the Rfam family "tRNA". From Rfam's summary of the family: Transfer RNA (tRNA) molecules are approximately 80 nucleotides in length. Their secondary structure includes four short double-helical elements and three loops (D, anti-codon, and T loops). Further hydrogen bonds mediate the characteristic L-shaped molecular structure. tRNAs have two regions of fundamental functional importance: the anti-codon, which is responsible for specific mRNA codon recognition, and the 3' end, to which the tRNAs corresponding amino acid is attached (by aminoacyl-tRNA synthetases). tRNAs cope with the degeneracy of the genetic code in two manners: having more than one tRNA (with a specific anti-codon) for a particular amino acid; and 'wobble' base-pairing, i.e. permitting non-standard base-pairing at the 3rd anti-codon position. Lineage: Bacteria; Pseudomonadati; Pseudomonadota; Gammaproteobacteria; Thiotrichales; Piscirickettsiaceae. The record is from RNAcentral.
GUGGGUGUAGCUCAGUUGGUAGAGCCCAGGGUUGUGAUCCCUGUCGUCGCGGGUUCGAGUCCCGUCACCCACCCCA